GACGAACGCUGGCGGCGUGCUUAACACAUGCAAGUCGAACGGAAAGGCCCUGCUUUUGUGGGGUGCUCGAGUGGCGAACGGGUGAGUAACACGUGAGUAACCUGCCCUUGACUUUGGGAUAACUUCAGGAAACUGGGGCUAAUACCGGAUAGGAGCUCCUGCUGCAUGGUGGGGGUUGGAAAGUUUCGGCGGUUGGGGAUGGACUCGCGGCUUAUCAGCUUGUUGGUGGGGUAGUGGCUUACCAAGGCUUUGACGGGUAGCCGGCCUGAGAGGGUGACCGGCCACAUUGGGACUGAGAUACGGCCCAGACUCCUACGGGACGCAGCAGUGGGGAAUAAUGCACAGUGGGCGGACGCCUGAUGCAGCAACGCCGCGUGCGGGAUGACGGCCUUCGGGUUGUAAACCGCUUUCGCCUGUGACGAGGCGUGAGUGACGGUAAUGGGUAAAGAAGCACCGGCUAACUACGUG
Molecule: ribosomal RNA, 468 nt
Filed under: uncultured bacterium
Lineage: Bacteria
Description: partial 16S ribosomal RNA
Rfam family: Bacterial small subunit ribosomal RNA
Source: RNAcentral